Quercus robur (English oak) is the source of this 1020-nucleotide long non-coding RNA. RefSeq lists it as uncharacterized. The transcript is spliced from 2 exons. The record is from RefSeq and is a predicted model, not a curated record. Lineage: Eukaryota; Viridiplantae; Streptophyta; Magnoliopsida; Fagales; Fagaceae.
AAGGUACAUGAGAUUAAUUCUAUGAAAUGUGUCUCAUCAAUGAAUGAAAUAUUUGAGAGAAAUAACCUUGGAAAAUUAUAAGGCACUCAUGAUUUGGUUAAUGGAUUGGGAUACUUUGAUCUUUGUUGAAAGUUGAAAGAUGAGCUAGAUUAACUAAUUCAUCUUUCUUCAUAAUCAAACUUAACCCUUACAUAACUCAGUUGAGUUACUGCAACCACUUGAUUUUAUUAUGGAUAAAUAUUUGUUAUUUUCACUUUCUCAUUAUGCAGAAAUCCAUUUUUCAUUUUUGUGGCCAGAAGAGAGGAGGCAGAAAUUUAUGUGCAAAUCACUAACAAAAGAGUUAUGCCAUAGAAUGAUAUCAAGCUGGUAUGGAUGUAACAAUCUCUCCCAGUUUGAGCUUGUACAAGAUGGUGGUCUUCCCAGAAGCAUCAAGACCCACCAUCAGAAUCCUCAUCUCACAUUUUGUAAGAAACCUCUUUGCUAGUCUAGAUAUGAUAGCACCCAUGCCACUUUACCAAAAAAAACAGAUCAACUAGGAUUAAAAUUUUCAAACAAAACCUCAGCAACAGAGAAAUAUUGGAAGAGAAAGAAAAUGGAUUGUUUCAUCAAUAUGAGAACUUAUGCAAGAGACAAACUUAAGGAGAAACAUGGGAAAAAGGAUAUCUCUUGUAUUUAAAGCAAGCACCAAAUGGGACAUUGUUGGGUGGAAAGGGAAAGGAGAAUAAAUUCUGAUUUUAGAGGAGAGGCACGAAUUAUAUACUUAUAUUGUAUUGUUCAACUUCAUUAGUACUUGCCAUCAUAUGGGAAUCCUCACAAAAAAUGUUGGUGUAAUAGAUAGCCAAAAUUCUUUUGGUUGCUUUGUAGUUAAACAGUGGUGUGUAAUGUGUAUUGGACAUUUUAUAAAGCCUACACACGUCUUUGUGCCUAACAAAGCUGAAACAAUAGAUCCUUCUCAAUAAGCACUUAGAAUGAUGCCCCAACAAGAGCUAAUUGAUUCCAGAUGGUCCAGGUUAUUGUUCU